RNAcentral lists this ribosomal RNA (1336 nucleotides) under Acinetobacter haemolyticus. RNAcentral's name for it is "bacterial SSU rRNA". It matches the Rfam family "Bacterial small subunit ribosomal RNA", at positions 1 to 1336 of the family's 1533-position model. Lineage: Bacteria; Pseudomonadati; Pseudomonadota; Gammaproteobacteria; Moraxellales; Moraxellaceae. The record is from RNAcentral.
CCAGAGUUUGAUCAUGGCUCAGAUUGAACGCUGGCGGCAGGCUUAACACAUGCAAGUCGAGCGGGGAAGUGUAGCUUGCUACAUUACCUAGCGGCGGACGGGUGAGUAAUGCUUAGGAAUCUGCCUAUUAGUGGGGGACAACAUUCCGAAAGGUGCUAAUACCGCAUACGUCCUACGGGAGAAAGCAGGGGUAUCUUCGGACCUUGCGCUAAUAGAUGAGCCUAAGUCGGAUUAGCUAGUUGGUGGGGUAAAGGCCUACCAAGGCGACGAUCUGUAGCGGGUCUGAGAGGAUGAUCCGCCACACUGGGACUGAGACACGGCCCAGACUCCUACGGGAGGCAGCAGUGGGGAAUAUUGGACAAUGGGCGGAAGCCUGAUCCAGCCAUGCCGCGUGUGUGAAGAAGGCCUUAUGGUUGUAAAGCACUUUAAGCGAGGAGGAGGCUACUCUAGUUAAUACCUAGAGAUAGUGGACGUUACUCGCAGAAUAAGCACCGGCUAACUCUGUGCCAGCAGCCGCGGUAAUACAGAGGGUGCGAGCGUUAAUCGGAUUUACUGGGCGUAAAGCGUGCGUAGGCGGCUGAUUAAGUCGGAUGUGAAAUCCCUGAGCUUAACUUAGGAAUUGCAUUCGAUACUGGUCAGCUAGAGUAUGGGAGAGGAUGGUAGAAUUCCAGGUGUAGCGGUGAAAUGCGUAGAGAUCUGGAGGAAUACCGAUGGCGAAGGCAGCCAUCUGGCCUAAUACUGACGCUGAGGUACGAAAGCAUGGGGAGCAAACAGGAUUAGAUACCCUGGUAGUCCAUGCCGUAAACGAUGUCUACUAGCCGUUGGGGCCUUUGAGGCUUUAGUGGCGCAGCUAACGCGAUAAGUAGACCGCCUGGGGAGUACGGUCGCAAGACUAAAACUCAAAUGAAUUGACGGGGGCCCGCACAAGCGGUGGAGCAUGUGGUUUAAUUCGAUGCAACGCGAAGAACCUUACCUGGUCUUGACAUAGUAAGAACUUUCCAGAGAUGGAUUGGUGCCUUCGGUGAACUUACAUACAGGUGCUGCAUGGCUGUCGUCAGCUCGUGUCGUGAGAUGUUGGGUUAAGUCCCGCAACGAGCGCAACCCUUUUCCUUAUUUGCCAGCGGGUUAAGCCGGGAACUUUAAGGAUACUGCCAGUGACAAACUGGAGGAAGGCGGGGACAACGUCAAGUCAUCAUGGCCCUUACGACCAGGGCUACACACGUGCUACAAUGGUCGGUACAAAGGGUUGCUACCUAGCGAUAGGAUGCUAAUCUCAAAAAGCCGAUCGUAGUCCGGAUUGGAGUCUGCAACUCGACUCCAUGAAGUCGGAAUCGCU